UACGUAGGGUGCAAGCGUUGCCCGGAUUUAUUGGGCGUAAAGGGCGCGUAGGCGGCUUGGCAAGUGGAUGGUGAAAUCCCUCGGCUUAACCGAGGAACUGCCGUCCAAACUGCUUCGCUUGAGACCGGGAGAGGUGAGUGGAAUUCCCAGUGUAGCGGUGAAAUGCGUAGAUAUUGGGGAGGAACACCAGUGGCGAAGGCGGCUCACUGGACCGGUACUGACGCUGAUGCGCGAAAGCGUGGGGAGCAAACGGG
RNAcentral lists this ribosomal RNA (254 nucleotides) under uncultured bacterium. RNAcentral's name for it is "partial 16S ribosomal RNA". It matches the Rfam family "Bacterial small subunit ribosomal RNA", at positions 524 to 776 of the family's 1533-position model. The record is from RNAcentral.